RNAcentral lists this ribosomal RNA (785 nucleotides) under uncultured Alphaproteobacteria bacterium. RNAcentral's name for it is "bacterial SSU rRNA". It matches the Rfam family "Bacterial small subunit ribosomal RNA", at positions 41 to 874 of the family's 1533-position model. Lineage: Bacteria; Pseudomonadati; Pseudomonadota; Alphaproteobacteria. The record is from RNAcentral.
GGCAUGCCUCAUACAUGCAAGUCGAACGAGGUCUUCGGACCUAGUGGCGCACGGGUGAGUAACAUGUGGGAAUCUACCUAAAGGUUCGGAAUAACUGCGAGAAAUUGUAGCUAAUACCGGAUGUGUCUGCAAAGAGAAAGAUUUAUCGCCUUUAGAUGAGCCCGCACUAGAUUAGCUAGUUGGUGAGGUAAUUGCUCCACCAAGGCUACGAUCUAUAGCUGAUUUGAGAGGAUGAUCAGCCACACUGGGACUGAGACACGGCCCAGACUCCUACGGGAGGCAGCAGUAGGGAAUAUUGGACAAUGGGGGAAACCCUGAUCCAGCAAUGCCGCGUGAGUGAAGAAGGCCUUCGGGUUGUAAAACUCUUUCAUCAAUGAUGAUAAUGACAUUAGUUGAAGAAGAAGCUCCGGCUAACUUCGUGCCAGCAGCCGCGGUAAUACGAAGGGGGCUAGCGUUGUUCGGAAUCACUGGGCGUAAAGCGUAUGUAGGCGGAUCAAAAAGUUAGAUGUGAAAUCCCUGGGCUCAACCCAGGAACUGCAUUUAAAACUAGUGAUCUAGAAUUUGGUAGGGGUUAGUAGAAUUUCCAGUGUAGAGGUGAAAUUCGUAGAUAUUGGAAAGAAUACCAGUGGCGAAGGCGACUAACUGGGCCAUUUUUGACGCUGAGAUACGAAAGCGUGGGUAGCAAACAGGAUUAGAUACCCUGGUAGUCCACGCAGUAAACGAUGAGUGCUAGUCGCUGGGACAAUAGUUUCAGUGUCGAAGCUAACGCAUUAAGCACUCCGCCU